This 85-nucleotide transfer RNA is filed under the name Pseudocercospora pini-densiflorae CBS 125139. Its description in RNAcentral is "tRNA-His (GTG) (tRNA-His-GTG-2-1)". It matches the Rfam family "tRNA". Rfam says of the family: Transfer RNA (tRNA) molecules are approximately 80 nucleotides in length. Their secondary structure includes four short double-helical elements and three loops (D, anti-codon, and T loops). Further hydrogen bonds mediate the characteristic L-shaped molecular structure. tRNAs have two regions of fundamental functional importance: the anti-codon, which is responsible for specific mRNA codon recognition, and the 3' end, to which the tRNAs corresponding amino acid is attached (by aminoacyl-tRNA synthetases). tRNAs cope with the degeneracy of the genetic code in two manners: having more than one tRNA (with a specific anti-codon) for a particular amino acid; and 'wobble' base-pairing, i.e. permitting non-standard base-pairing at the 3rd anti-codon position. Lineage: Eukaryota; Fungi; Ascomycota; Dothideomycetes; Mycosphaerellales; Mycosphaerellaceae. The record is from RNAcentral.
GGGGAUGUGGUCCAAUGGUAAGAUCUCUAUACCUGCGCUGUGAACUCAGGAUAGUAGGAUUCCAGUUCGAGUCUGGGCUUCUCCG